This 492-nucleotide ribosomal RNA is filed under the name uncultured bacterium. RNAcentral describes it as "partial 16S ribosomal RNA". It matches the Rfam family "Bacterial small subunit ribosomal RNA", at positions 29 to 507 of the family's 1533-position model. The record is from RNAcentral.
AGUGAACGCUGGCGGUAGGCCUAACACAUGCAAGUCGAACGGCAGCACAGUAAGAGCUUGCUCUUACGGGUGGCGAGUGGCGGACGGGUGAGGAAUACAUCGGAAUCUACUUUUUCGUGGGGGAUAACGUAGGGAAACUUACGCUAAUACCGCAUACGACCUACGGGUGAAAGCAGGGGAUCUUCGGACCUUGCGCGAUUGAAUGAGCCGAUGUCGGAUUAGCUAGUUGGCGGGGUAAAGGCCCACCAAGGCGACGAUCCGUAGCUGGUCUGAGAGGAUGAUCAGCCACACUGGAACUGAGACACGGUCCAGACUCCUACGGGAGGCAGCAGUGGGGAAUAUUGGACAAUGGGGGAAAGCCUGAUACAGCCAUACCGCGUGGGUGAAGAAGGCCUUCGGGUUGUAAAGCCCUUUUGUUGGGAAAGAAAAGCAGCAGGUUAAUACCCCGCUGUUAUGACGGUACCCAAAGAAUAAGCACCGGCUAACUUCGUG